GAACGGGUGAGUAAUGUAUCGGAACGUGCCCAGUUGUGGGGGAUAACUGCUCGAAAGAGCAGCUAAUACCGCAUACGACCUGAGGGUGAAAGCGGGGGAUCGCAAGACCUCGCGCAAUUGGAGCGGCCGAUAUCAGAUUAGGUAGUUGGUGGGGUAAAGGCUCACCAAGCCGACGAUCUGUAGCUGGUCUGAGAGGACGACCAGCCACACUGGGACUGAGACACGGCCCAGACUCCUACGGGAGGCAGCAGUGGGGAAUUUUGGACAAUGGGCGCAAGCCUGAUCCAGCUAUGCCGCGUGCGGGAAGAAGGCCUUCGGGUUGUAAACCGCUUUUGUCAGGGAAGAAAAGGCUCCUGUUAAUACCGGGGGCUCAUGACGGUACCUGAAGAAUAAGCACCGGCUAACUACGUGCCAGCAGCCGCGGUAAUACGUAGGGUG
This 438-nucleotide ribosomal RNA is filed under the name uncultured bacterium. Its description in RNAcentral is "bacterial SSU rRNA". It matches the Rfam family "Bacterial small subunit ribosomal RNA", at positions 100 to 534 of the family's 1533-position model. The record is from RNAcentral.